UACGGAGGGUGCAAGCGUUAUCCGGAAUCACUGGGUUUAAAGGGUGCGUAGGCGGCUAGAUAAGUCAGAGGUGAAAGUUUGUCGCUUAACGAUAGAACUGCCUUUGAUACUGUUAAGCUUGAAAGUAGGUGAGGUUGGCGGAAUGUGACAUGUAACGGUGAAAUGCAUAGAUAUGCCAUAGAACACCAAUUGCGAAGGCAGCUUGCUAGAUCUUGAUCGACGCUGUGGCACGAAAGCGUGGGGAGCGAACAGG
RNAcentral lists this ribosomal RNA (253 nucleotides) under uncultured bacterium. Its description in RNAcentral is "partial 16S ribosomal RNA". It matches the Rfam family "Bacterial small subunit ribosomal RNA", at positions 524 to 776 of the family's 1533-position model. The record is from RNAcentral.